RNAcentral lists this ribosomal RNA (253 nucleotides) under uncultured bacterium. RNAcentral's name for it is "partial 16S ribosomal RNA". It matches the Rfam family "Bacterial small subunit ribosomal RNA", at positions 524 to 776 of the family's 1533-position model. The record is from RNAcentral.
UACGUAGGUGGCAAGCGUUGUUCGGAAUUACUGGGCGUAAAGCGCGCGUAGGCGGCUCUUCAAGUCAGGCGUGAAAGCCCCGAGCUUAACUCGGGAACUGCGCUUGAUACUGUCGAGCUAGAGUGUGGAAGGGGCGAUUGGAAUUCCGUGUGUAGCGGUGAAAUGCGUAGAUAUACGGAGGAACACCAGAGGCGAAGGCGGAUCGCUGGGCCAACACUGACGCUGAGGAGCGAAAGCGUGGGGAGCGAACAGG